RNAcentral lists this ribosomal RNA (1812 nucleotides) under uncultured bacterium. Its description in RNAcentral is "bacterial LSU rRNA". It matches the Rfam family "Bacterial large subunit ribosomal RNA", at positions 189 to 1973 of the family's 2925-position model. The record is from RNAcentral.
GGAAGUGAACCAUCUCAGUACCCGGAGGAAGAGAAAACAACCGUGAUUCCGAGAGUAGUGGCGAGCGAAAUCGGAAGAGCCUAAACCGUCCGAUCCCAAAGGAGAGGGCGGGGUUGCAGGGCCACAAUCAUCAGGUGGCGGUGCGGUCCCCAAAGGACGGCAGCAUCACCUGGUGAGAACGAGGGAUAGAGGCGCGUUAAUCGAACGGUCUGGAAAGGCCGGCCAUAGAGGGUGACAGCCCCGUAGGUGAAAAUGCAAUUCUCCUUUCAGUGGUACCUAAGUACCGCGGGGCACGAGAAACCCUGCGGGAAUCCGCCGGGACCAUCCGGCAAGGCUAAAUACUCGCUUGCGACCGAUAGUGAACCAGUACCGUGAGGGAAAGGUGAAAAGAACCCCUGCGAGGGGAGUGAAAUAGUACCUGAAACCACACGCCUACAAGCAGUGGGAGGGCAUGUGCUCCGCAAGGAGCGGGCCUGACCUCGUGCCUAUUGCAUAAUGAGCUGGCUAGUUAUUCUCAGUGGCAAGGUUAAGCGCAAGCGAGCCGCAGCGAAAGCGAGUCCGAACAGGGCGAUGGAGUCGCUGGGAAUAGACGCGAAGCGGGAUGAUCUACCCUUGGCCAGGAUGAAGUCCGUGUAACAGCGGAUGGAGGUCCGAACCAGUGUUGGUUGAAAACAGCUUGGAUGAGCUGAGGGUAGGGGUGAAAGGCUAAUCAAAUUCCGUGAUAGCUCGUUCUCUCCGAAAUAGCUUUAGGGCUAGCCUCGCGUGUUCCGUCAACUAGGGGCCUUCUUACCGAAUUAAACCAAACUUCGAAUGCCGUUACGUACAGCGCGGGAGUCAGACAGUGGGGGCUAAGCUUCAUUGUCGAAAGGGAAACAGCCCAGACCAUCGACUAAGGUCCCAAAAUCUACGCUAAGUGGGAAAGGAAGUCGGGAGGCUCAGACAGCCAGGAGGUUGGCUUAGAAGCAGCCAUCCUUUAAAGAAAGCGUAAUAGCUCACUGGUCGAGCCGCCCGGCGCCGACAAUAUAACGGGGCUCAAGCGUAGUGCCUUAAGUCAUGGAUCGGCCUUCGGCCGAUGGUAGGAGAGCGUUCCUGCGGGAGUGAAGGCCGACCGGAAGGACGGCUGGACCGGCAGGAAGCGACUCUGCCAGCAUAAGUAGCGAAAAACCAGGUGAGAACCCUGGUCGCCGUAAGUCUAAGGAUUCCUGAGAAAGGUUAAUCCGCUCAGGGUUAGUCGGAGCCUAAGGCGAGGCCGAAAGGCGUAGCCGAUGGACACGCGGUUAAUAUUCCGCGACUACCGAAGCCCGAUCAAGACCGAAGGGGGGACGCAGACCGUAAGCCUGUCCGCGCAAUGGUUACAAAGACAGGUGAAGGGAGGCCGGGAUUGGCAAAUCCGCCCGGCCGUCUGCCAGGAAAAGCCUCUAAGGAGGGUUAGGUAUCCGUACCACAAACCGACACAGGUGGACGAGAUGAGUAUUCUAAGGCGCUCGGGUGAUGGUUUGUUCAGGAACUAGGCACAUUAGCUCCGUAACUUCGGGAGAAGGAGUGCCCUUGAAGGUAGAACGGGCUUGCAGCCUGCUGGCCAAGCGGACUGAAGGUCCGCUCUACCUUUGAGGGCCGCAGUGAAUAGUCUCAGGCGACUGUUUAACAAAAACACAGGUCUCUGCAAAGUCGAAAACGACGUAUAGGGGCUGACGCCUGCCCGGUGCCGGAAGGUUAAAGGGAGAGGUCAGUUGCAAGACGAAGCUUUGAACUGAAGCCCCGGUGAACGGCGGCCGUAACUAUAACGGUCCUAAGGUAGCGAAAUUCCUUGUC